RNAcentral lists this transfer RNA (73 nucleotides) under Stegodyphus mimosarum. It matches the Rfam family "tRNA". Rfam says of the family: Transfer RNA (tRNA) molecules are approximately 80 nucleotides in length. The record is from Rfam by way of RNAcentral. Lineage: Eukaryota; Metazoa; Arthropoda; Arachnida; Araneae; Eresidae.
GCCUUCGUGGUGUAGUGGUCAGCACGAUCGACGCGUAACAGCGAGGUACGUGGUUCGAAUCCCGGCGAAGGCG